UCGUAGCUCAAUGGAUAGAGCAACGGCCUUCUAAUCCGUAGGUUGUGGGUUCGAGUCCCACCGA
Molecule: transfer RNA, 64 nt
Filed under: Mobiluncus curtisii
Lineage: Bacteria; Bacillati; Actinomycetota; Actinomycetes; Actinomycetales; Actinomycetaceae
Also listed under: 1 other name
Rfam family: tRNA
About the family: Transfer RNA (tRNA) molecules are approximately 80 nucleotides in length. Their secondary structure includes four short double-helical elements and three loops (D, anti-codon, and T loops). Further hydrogen bonds mediate the characteristic L-shaped molecular structure. tRNAs have two regions of fundamental functional importance: the anti-codon, which is responsible for specific mRNA codon recognition, and the 3' end, to which the tRNAs corresponding amino acid is attached (by aminoacyl-tRNA synthetases). tRNAs cope with the degeneracy of the genetic code in two manners: having more than one tRNA (with a specific anti-codon) for a particular amino acid; and 'wobble' base-pairing, i.e. permitting non-standard base-pairing at the 3rd anti-codon position.
Source: RNAcentral